Molecule: long non-coding RNA, 507 nt
Organism: Nasonia vitripennis (jewel wasp)
Lineage: Eukaryota; Metazoa; Arthropoda; Insecta; Hymenoptera; Pteromalidae
Exons: 2
Source: RefSeq, a predicted model, not a curated record
CGUGGAUACAUAUUUACGAAGCGUAAUUUACAAUAAUUUCGUGCCGAGUGGGCGUGACGAGAGCGCGCGGCUAAGGGGGAAAAAGAAGGUUUCGACGCCGCGUGGUCACAGAGAAAACCCUCGCGCAGGUCGUUUCCGGUGCGUACAUGUACAGGUGUGUUUUUUUUUAGUUUUUCGCGUGUGUACGACAUGCGGGACAGCUUUUCUGGAGUGGGUGUCGUUCGCUGUGUGCUGUGGAAGUGUCUGCGCUGGUGGAACGACGAGAGGAUGAUUGAAAUUAAUUUGGUCGAUUGCUCGAUGGUGCGGUGGCUCGUGAUGGUGUUUAUAUAUAGCGAACAUAUGCGAAGGAAGUGAACUCGAGAACUAUAACUUAUAUUUAAUGCGAAUGUGACUAACGUCGAGGGGACGGAAAAUUGAUCGCUGCUUUCGCAGGUAAUUAGUUUCAUGGAAAUACAGAUACUGUACACAUGUCAUAAAAAUAUAUCAAUAUAUGAAGAUAAAACUACA